RNAcentral lists this microRNA precursor (136 nucleotides) under Hordeum vulgare. RNAcentral's name for it is "microRNA MIR1122". It matches the Rfam family "MIR1120/MIR1122 microRNA precursor family". Lineage: Eukaryota; Viridiplantae; Streptophyta; Magnoliopsida; Poales; Poaceae. The record is from RNAcentral.
AUAGUACUUCCUCCGUCCCAAAAUUCUUGUCUUAGAUUUGUCUAAAUAUGAAUGUAUCUAUUCAUGUUAUAGUAUUUAGAUACAUCUAUUUCUAGACAAACCUAAGACAAGAAUUUUGGAACGGAGGGAGUAGAUA